UAUACAUGCCAUAUGCCCAAAAUCAACCUAGUAAAAUACCAAAAGAAACAGUUGAUAGUGUGAUAGGCUUUGCUGACGAUCCCCGAGCUCGUAACGUGACUCCAAAAUAUAUAAAAUAGAGGUAAACAAGAGCACGCACACAAUAAGCUAUUUAAGCUUAGUAAGCAUUAAGCAAAAACAUAUAUAACAACAAUUACAUAUUAACAUUUUGUUUACAAGGCCGAAUUUGCAUAAUAUCAAAUACAAGUUAUCAUUUACUAAUAGAUCACAUUUUAACCUCACAUACAUAUACCAUAUGGCCAAAUAUAGUCAAUCAUAUACAUAUAUAUUUUCACAUUUAUUAUUACAAACAUAUCAAUAGGCCAAAUCACUUAUAUGCUCAACUAUGCUAACACGAAAUCCAUAUUCACAUAACUUUAUAUCAUUUCAAGUAAUCAACUUACCUUGUUUCCUUAUAAACAUUUAACUAGCACAUACCUGAACCUGUAAGUUGAUUUCACAUUCGGUCUUUACUUCAUAUUGCUCGUUGAACCGUUCAAAAUUAAAAAGGAUACGUCAAUAGUCGGAAAGCUGAUACAAUGCCAACGUCCCAGACGUGGUCUUACAUGUAAUUACAUAUCGAUGCCACUGUCCCAGAUAGGGUCUUACACGUAAAUCACAAAUCGAUGCGAACGUCCCAGACAUGGUCUUACACGAUAACACACAAUGGAAUCCUAUGUCAUGACAUAUGUAUCCUAACUAUUCCUAAGGUUCGUACGGGACUUUCAGACAUCGUAUCUCGAUCGAAUCGAACUCGAAAACAUUGCUCCCAAGCAUAAUUCACAUAUAAUCAAACAUUCGACCAACACUUAUAUAAUCAAGAAUUCAAUUCAACCUAUAUAUAAUUCACAUAUAAUCAAAGUUAACAACAUUUAAAAUGCUUAUAAACUUACCUCGGAUGUCGACAAACGGAAACAAACGACUAUCCGAUUAUUUUUGCUUUUCCCUGAUCCAAAUCUGUUUUCUUUGGUUCUUGAUCUAAACAUAUUCAAAUUAAACUUAUUUAAGCAUAAUUUUAUUCAAUUUAGUCUAAAAAACAAAAAUGGGAAAAUUACUAUUUCCCCCUAACAUUUUACACUUUUUGCAAUUUAGUCCUUAUUGCAUAAAACACAAAACACACAAAAUUUCACAUUACCCAUGCUCGGCCGAAUAUUCACAUGCUUCAUAAAAGUCUAUAUAUUUAAUUUAUUUCAUAUUUUAGUCAUUCAAAAUAUUAUUUUCACAAUUUAAUCCAAUUUACUCAAAUUCAUCAAAAAUUCAAAAAUCAAACUAUGUUAAUUUAACACAUAUAUUUCAUAUUUCACUUUCAAACAUCACAAAACUCAUGAAUUCAUCAAUGGCAUAUUUCAAAAUCAUCAUCAAUUCACAAAAUUGAAGCAUGGGUUUUUGAAGAACACAAAGCUACAAUCCCAAAAUGUAAAAAUUAUCAAAAAUCGAAACCGAAACAUACCUUAAUUUGC
This 1499-nucleotide long non-coding RNA is filed under the name Gossypium raimondii (Peruvian cotton). Its description in RNAcentral is "long non-coding RNA (GRAI_LNC007614)". Lineage: Eukaryota; Viridiplantae; Streptophyta; Magnoliopsida; Malvales; Malvaceae. The record is from RNAcentral.